GACGAACGCUGGCGGCGUGCUUAACACAUGCAAGUCGAACGGAAAGGCCCUGCUUUUGUGGGGUGCUCGAGUGGCGAACGGGUGAGUAACACGUGAGUAACCUGCCCUUGACUUUGGGAUAACUUCAGGAAACUGGGGCUAAUACCGGAUAGGAGCUCCUGCUGCAUGGUGGGGGUUGGAAAGUUUCGGCGGUUGGGGAUGGACUCGCGGCUUAUCAGCUUGUUGGUGGGGUAGUGGCUUACCAAGGCUUUGACGGGUAGCCGGCCUGAGAGGGUGACCGGCCACAUGGGGACUGAGAGACGGCCCAGACUCCUACGGGAGGCAGCAGUGGGGAAUAUUGCACAAUGGGCGGAAGCCUGAUGCAGCAACGCCGCGUGCGGGAUGACGGCCUUCGGGUUGUAAACCGCUUUCGCCUGUGACGAAGCGUGAGUGACGGGAAUGGGUAAAGAAGCACCGGCUAACUACGU
RNAcentral lists this ribosomal RNA (467 nucleotides) under uncultured bacterium. Its description in RNAcentral is "partial 16S ribosomal RNA". It matches the Rfam family "Bacterial small subunit ribosomal RNA", at positions 28 to 506 of the family's 1533-position model. The record is from RNAcentral.